Molecule: ribosomal RNA, 1384 nt
Filed under: metagenome
Description: bacterial SSU rRNA
Rfam family: Eukaryotic small subunit ribosomal RNA
Source: RNAcentral
GAUGGCUGUGUAGUGGACAACCAUGGCGGUCACGGGUAACGGAGAAUCAGGGUUCGAUUCCGGAGAGUGAGCCUGAGAGACGGCUAACACAACUAAGGUUGGCAGCAGGCGCGCAAAUUACCCAAUGUCAACACUGACGAGGUAGCGACGAAAAAUAGGAUUUCCGCUGGUCUUCGACCAGUGGAGAUUCCAAUGAAUGGUACUUAAACCCACCACUGAGUAACGAUUGGAGGGCAAGUCUGGUGCCAGCAGCCGCGGUAAUUCCAGCUCCAAGAGCGUAUGCUAAUGCUGUUGCUGUUAAAAAGCUCGUAGUUGGAUUCUGAGUUGAAGGUUGCACCCGGCCUUUCUACUGGGCGUCCUCUGGGCGCUCCAGUCAGAUUGGGUACAACCGAGUGCUUUCGACCUUCACUCUACACACGCGGAAACGAUUCCUCUGCGGAAGCCUCCUUCACUGGUGGUGGAAGCAACAUUACGGGACCACAAGUUCCCAUAAAGAGGCGUCCGCGAUUGUUACUGUGAACUAAACAGCGUGUUCAAAGCAUCCGUUUGGCUGAAUGAUCUAGCAUGGAAUAACAAGGGAUCGACCCUUUUGGUCUUCUUUUUGUCGGUUUUGAUUUCCCCAAGGGGCAAUCAAGGGCGGAGUAACCAUCUGGCCUCUUGUUGCGCUGGCUUCGGCCACGUGCUCAGGAACCAAAUGGUCUCCGUUCCGUCGGUAUUAAUAGGAGCAAGCGGGGUGGUACGUAUUGCUGCGUUAGUGGUGAAAUACUUAGACCGCAGCAGGACGAACAACAGCGAAGGCAUUCUGCAAGUUUGCUUUCAUUAAUCAAGAACGAGAGUGUGGGGUUCGAAGAUGAUCAGAUACCGUCGUAGUCCAUACCCGUAAACGAUGCCGAUUUGAAAUCAGCGGGGGUUCUACUUUAUGACCCCGUUGGCAUCGCCCCCUUUUAACGAGAAAUCCCAAAUUUUUGGGUUCAGGGGGGAGUACAUUCGCAAGGCUGAAACUUAAAGGAAUUGACGGAAUGACACCACAAGACGUGGAGUAUGCGGCUUAAUUUGACCCAACACGGGGAAACUCACCAGGUCAGGACGAAAUUAGGAUUGACAGAUUGAAGUUCUUUCUUGAUCUUUCGGAUGGUGGUGCAUGGCCGUUCUUGGUUGGUGAAGUGAUUUGUCUGCUUAAUUGCGUUAACGAACGAGAUCUCUGCCUCUUAAUAGGUGGCGGCGACGACUUUAAGCAGCUAUGGGGUUGGUGAAGGCUUCACGGCUGGAUCCGCCUUUUUGCUGUGAGUCUGCCGUGAAACUUCUUAGAGGGACUGUGUACGUUCCAGUACACGGAAGGUAGAGCGACAGGCAAGUCUAGUACGAACGUUUUACAUCUUCAUCU